This 1600-nucleotide unclassified non-coding RNA is filed under the name Drosophila erecta. RNAcentral's name for it is "GG15216". The record is from RNAcentral. Lineage: Eukaryota; Metazoa; Arthropoda; Insecta; Diptera; Drosophilidae.
CAUAGAUAAACCAGAACCAUGUCGGACUACAGAUCUCAAUCGCGGAGUGGCGGGGGACGUGGCGGCCAGGAGUACUCCAACGAUGACGAUCCGCCGAUGUCGCGGCUUUUCAUCAUUUGCAACAAGGCGCACACGGAGGAGGAUUUCCGUGAAGCCUUCUCGCCAUACGGCGAAAUCGAGGAUAUUUGGGUGGUGAAGGACAAGCACACGCAGGAGAACAAGGGAAUCGCCUACGUCAAGUUCUCCAAGACGUCCGAUGCCGCCAAGGCGCAGGAGGAGAUGAACGGCAAGACCAUUGGCAAGAUGGAUCGCACCCUCAAAGUGCUGGUGGCAGCCAAUCGCAAUCAGGGCUCAAAUAAGUCUGAGAACGAGCAGGAGAAGUACGUGAGGCUCUUCAUAGUAAUCCCCAAAACAGCCACCGAGGAGGAUAUUCGAGAGGAAUUCUCCCAGUGGGGCGAUGUGGAAUCGGUCACAAUUGUCAAGGAGAAGAACAAUGGCAAUCCCAAGGGCUUUGGAUAUGUCCGCUUCACCAAGUUCUACUAUGCAGCGGUGGCUUUCGAGAACUGCUCCGCCAAGUAUAAAGCAGUUUUUGCCGAGCCAAAGGGUUCCACACGCACACAGAGGGACCAGUACGGUCGUCCCUCCGAGGACAAUCCCUUGUAUAGCAGCUCGGGACGUGGCAACUCCAAUUUUAAUGGAGGCGGUAGCAGCAGCGGUGGCGGCGGCAGCAGCAGCUACAACAACGACUGGAAUGUGUCGCAGAACAACGACAUGGCGGCCUUCCUGCGCAUGCAGAAUGUCCCAGUGGCCCAGCCCUCCUGCCUGGAAGUCAACGUGAGCAACUGCGUCAACCAGGAUCAGCUCUGGCGACUCUUCGACAUCAUUCCCGGCUUGGAUUACUGCCAAAUCAUGCGGGAACAUGGACCGCGCACCAAUGAGGCCUUAGUGGUGUAUGACAACCCAGAAGCAGCUAUUUAUGCCAAGGACAAACUCCAUGGCUUGGAGUACCCAAUGGGCGAACGCAUUAUUGUCAAAGUCAAUGGAAUGAGCUCAGCUCGAAUGGACACAUCCUUUAUAGACAAGCGCACCAAAAAGGAUGCCAUCUGCAAUGUGCCUUUGCCCCCAACGCAACCACUGGCAUCGCCGGACGACCAGGUGGCCCAACGACUAUUUAUUGUGCUCUCAGCGAACUUGCCGCAUUCGAUAUUGAAAAACAUAUUCUCUUGCUGGUCGGGACUGAUUGACGUCUACCUGCUGCCGAACAAGAACUGUGGCUACGUCAAGUAUGCGGAGGCCGAGAGUGCUCAAAUGGCCAUUCGCACUCUGAAUGGCGCCGAAAUAUGCGGCACCAAAAUCAAGGUCAUGGAGGCUGAGGAGCGCAGUGGAUCCGAUGGCGAUGAUGGCGGUCGCAAGCGUUUAAGGCGGAAUUGAGUGUAAGUAGCUAGUUGAGAAUGCAUAAAUCCCAUAUCUAUUAAUGUAGCCAUAGUUGGACUGAGUGUGUGCCGUGGUCCGAGACCCACUGACAACCAAGAACUUACAGAGAACGCAAUGUACGAGUACGUAACUAACUUGAGCAUACAGUCCGAUAAAAACAGUUGAA